This is a long non-coding RNA of Dermochelys coriacea (leatherback sea turtle), 217 nucleotides long. RefSeq lists it as uncharacterized. NCBI's taxonomy places the organism in Eukaryota, Metazoa, Chordata, Testudines, Dermochelyidae. The record is from RefSeq and is a predicted model, not a curated record. The transcript has 2 exons.
ACCCAUGUUAGUCUAAAACCUAGGGAAAACGUUUUUAUCACUAUAAUUUACUUUAAUAAACAGGUUCUCUGUGUUUUUAAACCUGGAAUGUUUCUGCAUGCUCACUUUUUAUUGAAACAUAUGCAAAAGUGCUAAAUGAAGAGAUGUGUCUUCAUAAAGGCUUGUCUUUUCAAGUGUUUAUUCCUAUACAAGAUUUAAUAUAACUUUCACCUCUAUU